AUGCUCUGGUUUCUCUUCAGAUUGUAUAAAUCUUUCACCUUUUACUAAAGAUUUCCAUGGAGAGGAACAACUCUUGAGUUUUAAGCUAAUUUUUUGAGGGCUUGCUUUCUAGCAAGGCU
Molecule: small nuclear RNA, 119 nt
Filed under: Aotus nancymaae (Ma's night monkey)
Lineage: Eukaryota; Metazoa; Chordata; Mammalia; Primates; Aotidae
Description: U5 spliceosomal RNA (ENSANAG00000001038.1)
Rfam family: U5 spliceosomal RNA
About the family: U5 RNA is a component of both types of known spliceosome. The precise function of this molecule is unknown, though it is known that the 5' loop is required for splice site selection and p220 binding, and that both the 3' stem-loop and the Sm site are important for Sm protein binding and cap methylation.
Source: Rfam by way of RNAcentral